CUUAGAACCCUUCAAGAUUGUUUAAAAAUUGAUAUAUUAGAAAGUGUCUUUGGGAAGUAAAUUAGUGUAAAUAAAGUUUCAUCCUUGUAUUUGGAGGGAUUUAAGAUGAAUGACUGAAAAACGUAUUGCCUUUGCAGCUAUCUAAUAGUUGCCAUGGGUUUGCAAGUAGUCUGGAGCUUAAACUUCACUUUGAUGGAUGCCUAUGCACUGGCGAAGAAAAGAGUGCUCCACAAUUGAAUCCUUGUUAGCCUUUUGUAAUCGGAGAUUGGAGUUGGACGAACUGCUCGAGUGCUCGCAAGGGGAGUCAGGAACUGCAGUUGUCUUUCAUUUAUCCAAGGAGGAAGCAUAUGUAAAAUUUCUGCAGAUUAGGAGGGUUCCUCUCCAGGAACGGGAGUGCUCAAAUAAUGCUCCUGAUAUUAUUCCCCAGAUAAGAUCUAUCGCAAAAAAGGACCGUGAUGUUAUGUAGAAAGGACAAAAUCCUUUGUCUCUUUUGUCCGUGCAUAUAAGGAGCAUAAUUGCUCCUUCAUUUUCAGGUGGAAAGUCAGGGAUGGGAUAUGGUUUACUACAACAUUGAUUAUAAUAUUAUGGCCUUAUAUACCAGAGUCGUAUGUUGCCACAAAGUUGGGCGAGGAACUAUCACGACUGCUCUUUCUCUUGUGGCUGUUAGUCCGGUCGUGUUUAAUUUUCCUGAACUUAGCCAUGUAAAUUUUUAUUUCUUAGCCAUGAAUUCUAUAUAUGUAACCCACAUCAAGUAAUUAGUCGUGUUUCUUAUUAUGUAUGGAGUACUAUAUUCAUACUUUUAACUAUUUCUAUGGUAAUUAGGC
This is an RNA transcript of Spinacia oleracea (spinach), 824 nucleotides long. It is a transcript of the gene named DEAD-box ATP-dependent RNA helicase 18-like, with no coding region annotated. The transcript is spliced from 6 exons. Lineage: Eukaryota; Viridiplantae; Streptophyta; Magnoliopsida; Caryophyllales; Amaranthaceae. The record is from RefSeq and is a predicted model, not a curated record.